GCAUGCGCAGCUACCAUGCAGUCGACGGUAGCACAAAGAGCUUGGUCUCGUUUGACGAGUGGGGGACGGGUGAGUAAUGUGUGGGAAACUGUGUGAGGGGGGGGGAUAUCUACUGUGAACGGGAGCUAAUACCGCAUAACGUCGCAAGACCAAAGAGGGGGACCUUCUGGCCUCUUGCCAUCUCAUGUGCCCAGAUGGGAUUAUCUAUUAGGUGGGGUAACGGCUCACCUAUGCGACAAUCCCUAUCUGGGCUGAGAGGAUGACCACCCACACUGUGACUGAGACACGGUCCCCACUCCUACGGGAGGGGGCAGUGGGGAAUAUUGUGCAAUGGGCGCAAGCCUGAUGCACCCAUGCCCCGUGUGUGAAAAAAGCCUUCUGGUUGUAAAGUACUUUCUCCGGGGAGGAAAGGGUUGUGGUUAAUAACCCCUCCAAUUGAGGUUACCCGCACAAAAAACACCGCCUAACUCCCUGCCAGCACCCGCGCUAAUACAGAGGGUGCGCGCGUUAAUCUCAAUUACUGUGCGUAAAGCGCACGCACGCGGUCUGUCAAGUCUCAUGUGAGAUCUCCGGGCUCUCCCUGUGAACUGUGUUCUAGACUGUGAGGCUAUAGUCUCGUGUAGAGGGGUAGAAUUCUCCGUGUAUCGGUGAAAUGCGUAGAGAUCUGUAGGAAUACCGCUGGCGAAGGCGGGCCCCUGUGCAAAAACUGAGACUCUCGUGCGAAAGCGUGGGGAGAAAACAGGAGUAUAUACCCUGUGAGUCCACGCCCCAUACAAUGUCUACUUGUGGGGUUGUGCCCUCGUGGCGUGGGUUCCCGAGCUAACACGUUAAACGACCGCCUGGGGGAGUACCGCCCGCACGGUUAUAACUCUCAUGUAGUUGUCGGGGGGCCCGCCGCAGCCGGUGGGAGCAUGUGGGGUUAUAACGAUGCGACAGCGCAGAAGACCUUACCUACUUCUUGUACAUCCUCGAGGAGCAUUUCCCGAAGAUGCUGUUUGGUGGCCCUCUGGGAACAUCCUGAGAACAGAGUGCUGCUAGGGUGUGUCGUCAGCUUCUCGGUGGUGAAAAGUUGGGUAUAUCCCCACAGAGAGCAACCUAUAUCCUUGUUGUCCACCGGUUUAGCCGGGAAUCUAGGAGAACUCGCUUGUAAACUUGGGAAAGUGUAAGGCUAGUCCUGUGCCCUCAGAUAGGUUCCACACGAGGUUA
RNAcentral lists this ribosomal RNA (1206 nucleotides) under Enterobacteriaceae bacterium. RNAcentral describes it as "bacterial SSU rRNA". It matches the Rfam family "Bacterial small subunit ribosomal RNA", at positions 42 to 1227 of the family's 1533-position model. Lineage: Bacteria; Pseudomonadati; Pseudomonadota; Gammaproteobacteria; Enterobacterales; Enterobacteriaceae. The record is from RNAcentral.